UACGUAGGGUGCAAGCGUUGUCCGGAAUUAUUGGGCGUAAAGAGCUCGUAGGUGGUUUGUCGCGUUGUUCGUGAAAACUCACAGCUUAACUGUGGGCGUGCGGGCGAUACGGGCAGACUGGAGUACUGCAGGGGAGACUGGAAUUCCUGGUGUAGCGGUGGAAUGCGCAGAUAUCAGGAGGAACACCAAUGGCGAAGGCAGCUCGCUGGAACGGUACUGACGCUGAGGCGCGAAAGCGUGGGGAGCAAACAGG
RNAcentral lists this ribosomal RNA (253 nucleotides) under uncultured bacterium. Its description in RNAcentral is "partial 16S ribosomal RNA". It matches the Rfam family "Bacterial small subunit ribosomal RNA", at positions 524 to 776 of the family's 1533-position model. The record is from RNAcentral.